UGCCGCGCGGGCCGGCUCGAGUCGCGUUCGCUUCGGCCGAUCGGGUCGGUCAUCACGAGGCCGGCGCCUGUUCCGUCGUGCCGCCGCCG
This 89-nucleotide transfer RNA is filed under the name Streptomyces tuirus. Its description in RNAcentral is "tRNA-Arg". Lineage: Bacteria; Bacillati; Actinomycetota; Actinomycetes; Kitasatosporales; Streptomycetaceae. The record is from RNAcentral.